CAAUAGCGUAUAUUUAAGUUGUUGCAGUUAAAAAGCUCGUAGUUGGAUUUCGGUUAAGAGCGAUCGGUCCGCCGUUUGGUGUGCAUUGGUUGGUUUUAACUUCCUGUAGAGGACGUGCUCUGGGUUUAACGACCUGGACUCGGAGUCUACGUGGUUACUUUGAAAAAAUUAGAGUGUUCAAAGCGGGCUUACGCUUGAAUAUUUCAGCAUGGAAUAACACUAUAGGACUCCUGUCCUAUUUCGUUGGUCUCGGGACGGGAGUAAUGAUUAAGAGGAACAGUUGGGGGCAUUCGUAUUUCAUUGUCAGAGGUGAAAUUCUUGGAUUUAUGAAAGACGAACUUCUGCGAAAGCAUUUGCCAAGGAUGUUUUCAUUAA
Molecule: ribosomal RNA, 375 nt
Filed under: uncultured eukaryote
Lineage: Eukaryota
Description: partial 18S ribosomal RNA
Rfam family: Eukaryotic small subunit ribosomal RNA
Source: RNAcentral